This 1332-nucleotide long non-coding RNA is filed under the name Papio anubis (olive baboon). RNAcentral's name for it is "lncRNA (ENSPANG00000037822.1)". The record is from RNAcentral. Lineage: Eukaryota; Metazoa; Chordata; Mammalia; Primates; Cercopithecidae.
AUGCAAUGGCAAAACCGAAAAGGUCUGGGGAUAUGGGAAAAUACCAUGCAGACGGCCAUCUCAGAGACCCUGUCUUUCCAGUGGCAAAAGGUUCAGUUCCUUCGGAGGGGCGUGCCACUCCCCCUCUCCCUCACCCAGGGGACCACCACCCCAGGAACAGGAAGAACCGUGGCCCCUCCGCGGGCACAUCUCAACUGGGGAAGAAAACACAAUGUCGCUCCUUAUUUCUGCGUACAAAAGGACUCUGCGCCCUCCUCCUCGAACUGCCGCCCCGGCCACCUCCUAACUUGCAAGAAGGUGGGCAACGCGCCAUAUUCCAGGGUCCCCCAGUCUACCUGGGUAACAAGCCCACACCACCCGGCAGGAGGGAAGCUUCGGAGGUCGCCCAAACAGCCAGCCUCCUUUCCCGCAGGAGACAGCGGCUCCCGCGCCCCAGCCCGGCCCCGCCGCGCCGCCCGCCCGCGGACGAGAGCCGGGAAGGGCCGAGGGGGCGAGCAGAGAGCCGCGGCUCCGGUCCCGCGCAGCCCGCCCACCUCCCGCUCCCGGGCCCGGCGCACUCUCCCGCGCCUCCCGCUCCCGAGCCGCGGGAAGGCCGGGCCCCGGGUUCCACGGCGGGGAGGAGGCCGCGGCCCCGAGAGCCCCAGGCGGCUAGGGAGGCCGGAACCCUGGGGCUCUCGGGAGGGCAGCGCCUCCCUCCCGAGCCCGCCAGGACGCCUGGGGCCUAGUGCGGCCUGCGCAUCCUCGGGGUGGCGGUUUGGCUGGGCCGGGCCGGGGCCCCCCGCCCGAGGCGGGCCGAAUCCGGCGGGGGCCCAGGCCCGGAGCCGGGGGCGGCAGGGUGCCGGCUGCGGGGCGGGCCGGCCGGCCGGCGGGCGGGCGGCGUGUUGCGGCUGCGCCGGGGCUGAAAUAGCUGGAGAUUGCGCGGUAGGGCACUCACCUCAGAGCGGCUGCGCUACCGUGGGCCUGCGCCGUGGAGACUGCGACCGCGCCGGCUCCUCGCAGCCUCCUGCCACCAGCGGCAAUGGCGAGCGCUGCCGCUUCUGCCGCCGCCGCCGCCGCCGAGGAGGGGGAGGGGAGGGAGAGGGCACGCACGCGACGCACGGCCCGGCUUCCCCGCCCGGCCGCCGCCAUGAUGAGGAGGUCGGUGCUGCUGCUCUGCAGGCAGGCCGCGGAGAGGGCUCGCGACGAGGGCUCGGGCCUCCCCCGCCGGCGCGUUGCGUGCACGGAGCGCUUCAGAGGUUUGGUGGAGGCCAGAACCUCAAAAGCAACGGGAUUAGCACAACGCGGACACCCAGGAGAAGCGGUGCAAGCGGGCCCAAAAUGGUUGCUGAUUAG